Molecule: ribosomal RNA, 267 nt
Filed under: uncultured bacterium
Lineage: Bacteria
Description: partial 16S ribosomal RNA
Rfam family: Bacterial small subunit ribosomal RNA
Source: RNAcentral
GUCCACGCCGUAAACGAUGGCCACUCGGCCUUUGGCGGCGGAACCUCCGUCGCUGGGGGCCUUAGCUAACGCGGGAAGUGGCCCGCCUGGGAACUACGAGCGCAAGCUUAAAACUCAAAGGAAUUGACGGGGGCCCGCACAAGCAGCGGAGCGUGUGGUUUAAUUCGACGCAACGCGCAGAACCUUACCCAGGUUUGACAUGCACCUGCACGCGGCUGAAAGGCCGUCGCCUUCGAGGGUGGUGCACAGAUGCUGCAUGGCUGUCGU